UGCUUGAAGGGCUGAGGCGCCGCCCGAGUCCCAACACUGGUAUGGUCUGAGCCGGACUCCACCCGGCCUGAGACCUGACGCUUGGCUUCCCCGUGACCUCCAUUGACAUCCACGACCCGCCCUGGAGGCACGGAAGGCUGUGGGGUUCCAGCCCUCCGAACUGUGCAGCUGAGGAAACUGAGCGCUUAACGGGGGUAGAGCCAGAUCCUGGGCGGGACCCUGGCCAGGAUGAACUCAGGCAGCCAGAGGGACCCCGGGAAGAUGGGAGUGAGAGCCGCCUUCCUCUGCAAAAGCCUCCAGGCACCGCCUCACUGGUGAAGGCCAGAGACCCUAAACUGUCCCACGACCACCUGACUGGGCUGCCUCCCCGCCACCUGGCUGCCACCUCUCUCAGCGCCAAGCUCUUCCUCCAACCCAAAGUUUCCUUCCCAGCUAAGGGCGUUUGCACCUGCUGCUCCUUUUGCCUGGAAGUUCACCCCAGACUAUUCCAGGGCUUCUGUCCUUCCCAUUGCGUGGUCCCCAUCAGCUGCCACCACCUCUGAGAGCUCAGCCUCCGCUGGCCCUCCUGUCUCUCAGGCCACUACACUCUCCACUCUGCCAGAAAGUCCCCCAAUCAGUGACAACACAGGUCACGGUCCACACCUCAUCUGGCUUGUCCCCGUGCCCAGCAUCUGGCACAGAGCUGGUGCGUGCAAAUCCUGGGCAGGUGGGUGAGCUGAUGGUGUCCAGAGGCCCCUGGUCCUUAAGGGUAGGGGUGGGGAUGUCUCAGAGGACAUAACCUUGCAGACCCAGGUUCAAAUCUGGGCUUAUCAGCUCAUUUAGUCCUCACACAGCCCAUACUGGGAGGGCUAGUAUUCUCUCUGUUUUGCUGAUGAGGCACAGAGAAUGUCAGCAACUCCCAAAGAUUGCCCAGCAAGUUGGGAGUAAAGCUGGUACAAUUCCCACAUUUAACUGCUAAAUAGGGUGUCCUGUACUUGGUGUGUUCAAGCAGAGAUCCACACAUGGGAAGGUCAAGGCAACAUCCCUGGUGCUCCAGCUUUGAGGUCCUAGGAAAAAGGGAACCUCCCGUUAAAUGCUUCUAUUGCCGGGAAGUUCAGCACCUGUAAAAGCAGCCCCUUCCCAUUUCAUUGUGGCUGCAUUUUAAUUCUUAUUUUUUUAAAUGUUUAGCUUCAGGCCAGGCACAGUGACUCACACUAUAAUCCCAGCACUUUGGGAGGCUGAGGCAGGAGGAUCACUUGAGCCCAGCAAUUCAAGACCAGUCUAGGGAGUUGGGAGCAAAGGAGGAGACUCCUCCUUGCCGGAUUCUUUUCGGUUCUCAGACAUUCACCGAGUGCUGACCACAUGCCAGGGACUUACACCCACCCACCAAGUCCACACUGAGCCCUGCAGAGGAACCCCUGACACCCCCGUUUUGCAGAUUAGGAAGCAGAAGCUAAGUGAAAACAGAGUCAAGAUUCAAACCCAGUCCUGGUGAAGCCAGAGCCGUCCAACUGCUGUGAGUGGAAGGGCCGGGCAUGAACAGGCUUGGGGAGAAUCCUGGGAUUUCAUAGCCGGAAGAGAGCUCAAAGUGAUCGUGUUUGACAGAGGAGAAAAUGGGGCCUCAGAGACGAUGGCUGAGCCUUGAAAAGGUGGGGUUAGAAACCAGGCCCAGUCUUCUGAAUUCCAGACUCCAGAAUCUCCCCCAGGAUUGAGGUAUGUUCCACAGAAAGAAUCCCAGCUCCACCUACCCCAGUCACUGGACCUGCCCUGCCCUGGAGGCAUGGCCAGGAGGAGGCCCCCAGCAGGCAGGGGAUUGCUGGAGGGGGCGCCGACCGUGCAGGACGGUCUAGACGGUGGUGAGGCCCUCUGGGUCUGGCAGGAUUAGCAGCUUAGCUCCAAGGAGGACAAAGACGAGGUCAGCGCUAAGUGGAUUUCUGGAAAGCCUCCUCCAGCCCAGCAGGGCCCUACAGGAGGGGCCCAGGCUAGGGGACCUAGAUCUAGCCACAGAGGGCAUGGGUGGGCUAAUGGCACCAGCAGCAGCUCUUGAGCCCCCAUCACUGCACUGCACACUUUCACCUCUCCUGGCCUCAGUUUCCCCAUCUAUAAAUGUCAUGGUAACAGCUCCAACCUCACAGGGCUCUUGGGAAGACCCCACAAGAUGGUGCCUGUCAAGUGUGGCGUUGCCUCUGCCUGCGCAGAGCAGGUGCUCAGUAGAUGUCUUUAUGACUGUCUUUUGAAUCCUCCUCCAGCCCUGAGGGUCAAACAAGAUUAAAAAGAGCUUGUUGUUUAGUGGUAAGUUAGGUAAACAGAAGCGGGGUGCAGGAGUAUACAUCUAAGAAGAGAGUAAGUGUGGGGAACAAUGCUCUCUGGGCCACCUCACAUCCCCCCUGUGCCCUGAUUUCAGUGGCAGUGGCCCAUUCUGAGCGAGCUUGGACCCUCCUCCUCAGUGCCUGCCUGCCUUGUGUACCAAGCCCCGAAGGGCAGAGGAGGGCCAGCCCUCCGCAGUGUGGCCGGGCUGUGGUGGAUACACCUGCCUCCCAUCUGCAGAAGGACCUUCCUCAGGUGUCCGGCACACUUCCCAGGAGGUCCUGAAACCAGCUGAGGCCUCGAUUACACACCUGUGUUGGCUCCCUCACCUGGUCAUCACAAAUAAACCACCUGCGCCCAUGUCCCCAUCUCAGGCUCUGCUAUCGAGGGAACCAGCGUAAGCAGCCAUGCCCCUGAUGCGAAGAGGAAGUAGGGCUUGAGGGAGGCCAGGACUCAGGGGGUUGGCAUGCAGGAGCUGCGAAGGUCAUUUUCAUGUCCCUCCUUCCCCGAGUUUCAUGAAUGCAACCAUGCUACUAUGAUGAUGCAAUUUUUGUUUGUGUAUUAGUGGUGCCUAUGAAACCUGCUCUCUCUGCGCA
Molecule: non-coding RNA, 2882 nt
Organism: Macaca mulatta (Rhesus monkey)
Lineage: Eukaryota; Metazoa; Chordata; Mammalia; Primates; Cercopithecidae
Source: RefSeq, a predicted model, not a curated record